Molecule: ribosomal RNA, 253 nt
Filed under: uncultured bacterium
Lineage: Bacteria
Description: partial 16S ribosomal RNA
Rfam family: Bacterial small subunit ribosomal RNA
Source: RNAcentral
UACGUAGGGUGCAAGCGUUGUCCGGAAUUAUUGGGCGUAAAGAGCUCGUAGGCGGCCUGUCGCGUCGGCUGUGAAAACCCGGGGCUCAACCCCGGGCCUGCGGUCGAUACGGGCAGGCUCGAGUUCGGUAGGGGAGUCUGGAAUUCCUGGUGUAGCGGUGAAAUGCGCAGAUAUCAGGAGGAACACCGGUGGCGAAGGCGGGACUCUGGGCCGAUACUGACGCUGAGGAGCGAAAGCGUGGGGAGCGAACAGG